AUACGUAGGGGGCGAGCGUUGUCCGGAAUUACUGGGCGUAAAGGGUGCGUAGGCGGCACAUUAAGUCAGAUGUGAAAAACCUGGGCUUAACCGAGGUAUUGCAUGUGAAACUGAUGUGCUUGAGUGCAGGAGAGGGAAGUGGAAUUCCUAGUGUAGCGGUGAAAUGCGUAGAGAUUAGGAGGAACACCAGUGGCGAAGGCGGCUUCCUGGACUGUAACUGACGCUGAGGCACGAAAGCGUGGGGAGCAAACAGGAUUAGAUACCCUGGUAGUCCACGCCGUAAACGAUGGAUACUAGGUGUAGGUGUCGGUUUAGGCAUCGGUGCCGUAGUUAACGCAAUAAGUAUCCCGCCUGGGGAGUACGGCCGCAAGGCUGAA
This 377-nucleotide ribosomal RNA is filed under the name uncultured bacterium. Its description in RNAcentral is "bacterial SSU rRNA". It matches the Rfam family "Bacterial small subunit ribosomal RNA", at positions 523 to 898 of the family's 1533-position model. The record is from RNAcentral.